RNAcentral lists this ribosomal RNA (449 nucleotides) under uncultured bacterium. RNAcentral's name for it is "partial 16S ribosomal RNA". It matches the Rfam family "Bacterial small subunit ribosomal RNA", at positions 354 to 796 of the family's 1533-position model. The record is from RNAcentral.
GUCGAGAAUAUUUCGCAAUGGGCGAAAGCCUGACGAAGCGACGCCGCGUGAACGAUGAAGGCCUUCGGGUUGUAAAGUUCUGUCGCCUUAGAACAAGAAGCGCUGGAUAACACCCAGCGACGAUGAGGGUAUAAGGAGAGGAAGCACCGGCUAAUUCCGUGCCAACAGCUGCGGUAAUACGGAAGGUGCAAGCGUUAGUCGGAAUUAUUGGGCGUAAAGCGCGCGCAGGCGGAUCUGCCAGUCUGUCUUAAAAGUUCGGGGCUUAACCCCGUGAUGGGAUGGAAACUACAGAUCUAGAGUAUCGGAGAGGAAAGUGGAAUUCCUAGUGUAGCGGUGAAAUGCGUAGAUAUAUGGAGGAACACCAGUGGCGAAAGCGGCUCUCUGGUCUGUAACUGACGCUGAGGUUCGAAAGCGUGGGUAGCAAACAGGAUUAGAAACCCGAGUAGUCC